RNAcentral lists this ribosomal RNA (1121 nucleotides) under Salmonella enterica subsp. enterica serovar Javiana. Its description in RNAcentral is "partial 23S ribosomal RNA". It matches the Rfam family "Bacterial large subunit ribosomal RNA", at positions 612 to 1735 of the family's 2925-position model. The record is from RNAcentral. Lineage: Bacteria; Pseudomonadati; Pseudomonadota; Gammaproteobacteria; Enterobacterales; Enterobacteriaceae.
AUAAUGGGUCAGCGACUUAUAUUCUGUAGCAAGGUUAACCGAAUAGGGGAGCCGGAGGGAAACCGAGUCUUAAUUGGGCGUUAAGUUGCAGGGUAUAGACCCGAAACCCGGUGAUCUAGCCAUGGGCAGGUUGAAGGUUGGGUAACACUAACUGGAGGACCGAACCGACUAAUGUUGAAAAAUUAGCGGAUGACCUGUGGCUGGGGGUGAAAGGCCAAUCAAACCGGGAGAUAGCUGGUUCUCCCCGAAAGCUAUUUAGGUAGCGCCUCGUGAAUUCAUCUCCGGGGGUAGAGCACUGUUUCGGCUAGGGGGCCAUCCCGGCUUACCAACCCGAUGCAAACUGCGAAUACCGGAGAAUGUUAUCACGGGAGACACACGGCGGGUGCUAACGUCCGUCGUGAAGAGGGAAACAACCCAGACCGCCAGCUAAGGUCCCAAAGUCAUGGUUAAGUGGGAAACGAUGUGGGAAGGCCCAGACAGCCAGGAUGUUGGCUUAGAAGCAGCCAUCAUUUAAAGAAAGCGUAAUAGCUCACUGGUCGAGUCGGCCUGCGCGGAAGAUGUAACGGGGCUAAACCAUGCACCGAAGCUGCGGCAGCGACACUCAGGUGUUGUUGGGUAGGGGAGCGUUCUGUAAGCCUGUGAAGGUGGCCUGUGAGGGUUGCUGGAGGUAUCAGAAGUGCGAAUGCUGACAUAAGUAACGAUAAAGCGGGUGAAAAGCCCGCUCGCCGGAAGACCAAGGGUUCCUGUCCAACGUUAAUCGGGGCAGGGUGAGUCGACCCCUAAGGCGAGGCCGAAAGGCGUAGUCGAUGGGAAACGGGUUAAUAUUCCCGUACUUGGUGUUACUGCGAAGGGGGGACGGAGAAGGCUAUGUUGGCCGGGCGACGGUUGUCCCGGUUUAAGCGUGUAGGCUGGUUUUCCAGGCAAAUCCGGAAAAUCAAGGCUGAGGCGUGACGACGAGGCACUACGGUGCUGAAGCAACAAAUGCCCUGCUUCCAGGAAAAGCCUCUAAGCAUCAGGUAACAUCAAAUCGUACCCCAAACCGACACAGGUGGUCAGGUAGAGAAUACCAAGGCGCUUGAGAGAACUCGGGUGAAGGAACUAGGCAAAAUGGUGCCGUAACU